UAUAUAUUAUGUGACAGUUAUGAGAUUGAACAUCCUCGUGAACUGCCAUGUGUGUAUGUGUGUGUUUGUGUAUGUGUGUGUGUGUGUGUGUGUGUGUGUGUGUGUGUGAAUAUUUAGAGUGAUGAACAAGAAGGGCCUGAAGAAGACACCAGGAGUGUAGCUGCGUCCUCUGUCAUGGAAGGCCCUGAGGAAGACACCAGGAGUGUUACAUCAUCCUCUGUCAUGUCUCUGUUCCAGAGGAUGCAGAUGGACCCUCUGGAGCGGGAAUGGUUACGGUGUGCUGCAUUAGGAAAUGCUCCUGGCCUGCGCCAGCUUCUGCUCCAGGACCCCUCCCUGGCCCCCAAAAAGGUGACGGCUCUCCACUGGGCAGCCAAGCAGGGCCGCAUAGAGACGGUGGACAUGAUGGCUCGCUCUGGCGCAGACGUCAACCAGAGAGCGCAUCAGAUGCUAAAGUGAACAUUAGGGACUACCACGGCAAGAUGGCCGCUCAUUACUGGAAUGGAAGCAUGGACGUUUUCAACAUGGGUGGCUCUCAAUCAGGUGGGAAGUGGUCGAGAGGGAGGCGUGGACAGCGCUAUGGACAGUUAUCAGCUCUUCUUUCUCGUUCGCGGAGUCAGGGAAACCUCAAUGUGGAGCUGAUCCCUGGCUCUCUGGAGUUAACCCCUCGUCUUCUGCCUCGCUCUGAAACCAACAUUCCGACCCUCAUGGACACGUUCUGAAUGGAGUUUUUGAGUUUCUACAGUCUGUAUGUAAAUACGAGUGAAAGAUAGUGUCAAUUAGAAACACCAUCUUUCUGUCUCCUCUCAUCUGUUGUCUUAUGAAGUGAAGAAGAUGCCAUGCUAUUGAUCAUGUUGAAGGUUUUUAUUUAGACAUAUUGUUUCUCAGCACAUUAUUGGCUGGCCUAGUGCCCAGUGUGAUCUUCUGCUGUCUGUGUCCACCAUGAUGAGCACCAGCUGUGGACACAAUGCAGUCAGUACUGUCAGUCAGUUUGCCUUCUCUUAUUCUCUUAUGCAUUUUAACCCAAAAGUGCAGACCCUUUCAAAGCUUUUCUUCAUUUUAACGCAUGCAGUCCUUAAAGGAGAACUCCGGUGUAAAAUGGACCUUUGGUGUAGUAAACCAUGAUAAAAGUACUUACCUUUGAUAAAUAGCAAACUUCGGUUCUCCCAGAGCUUUCUGAGAUCCAGAAAUUUUACCAGUUUGUCCAAACACCCUUCAGACUGGGUGACACAAUUUAAAAAGUGCACAAGAAAACUUAUUAAAAUCCUCUGUUUACAUCCCAUAACACGAGUGUUCUAUUCAUCAAAGGUAAGUACUUUUAUCAUGUUUUACUACGACAAAAGUCCAUUUCACACGGGUGAGGUACAUUGAACAUCCAGAGUGCAUCACAGGACAGUGUGUAAAUGUGUGAAUGUGUGAUCAGCUGACCUUAUGUAAAGACUUAAGGUGUGCUUGGUUACAUUUAAAAAAUGCAUAUAGUUAGUUCUGAUACAAUUUCUAGAAAAGAAUGUUAAAAUAGAAGUUCUAAAAGCAUUGAUUCCAAACUUUUAAACCGUACAUAUACAUCAUCUAUCAUCUAUACAUCAUCUAUAACCUUAAAUAACCAGUGGAAUAGAUCCCUUCAGCUGUGAUCUUAGGAUCGGCAGUUUGAAUCCUGAAUCAUGCUGGAUCAUUCCAAGUUGGGGAAAAAAUGGGCUGAAAUUAAUAUUAAUAUUGUGUAGGUUCCCAUUGUGUGGUCUGGACCAUUUUUCAGUUUGGGUCCAAAAAGGCAAGUCAAUCUUUAAACAAAACAUAGAAAAGGAGAAUUGUGUUCUUCCAAAAUUUGACUCCCCUUGGCGUGCAGGAGUGUCACUCAGCAGUAUGAACACAAAUGCUUAGACUGGGAAUUCAUUAAUUUAUUGUAACACUAGAUUAACCCUUAUUCAUAAAUAGGAAUUAAAGGAAUCUGGGGAUAAGCUUUUACACGCAACUUUUUCCCGCUCCUUUCAAAUCACAGAACCCAUAAUAUUCUACAAAAUGAUUAAUAUGAAGUAUAGAGACCAUGUAGCUGAUGACAACAAGAUAUCUUACAAUUUUUUAUUCAACCCUUGUUGCGCACUCUGAUCCGGACUUCAUAUGACAUAUUCCUUUUUAAACCUCAUUAACCUUUUUAAAAACAGCUGUCUUGCCAGACGCAUCACUGAGUCUUGGACAUACAGUAUUGUGCAAAUUACAUUUACAUUACAUUACAUUACAUUACAUUGCAAAUGUUAUAGGUGGGAAUUUCAGUAAAGAAAGAGCUUCUUAUUUGGGCAGUAAGUGUUUAUUAGCUCAGUAAAACACUAUAAUUACAAUAAAUACAAACAGUGAUUUUACA
This 2353-nucleotide long non-coding RNA is filed under the name Astyanax mexicanus (Mexican tetra). Its description in RNAcentral is "lncRNA (ENSAMXG00005000280.1)". The record is from RNAcentral. Lineage: Eukaryota; Metazoa; Chordata; Actinopteri; Characiformes; Acestrorhamphidae.